GACGAACGCUGGCGGCGUGCUUAACAUAUGCAAGUCGAACGGAAAGGCCUCUUUCGGGGGGUACUCGAGUGGCGAACGGGUGAGUAACACGUGAGUAACCUGCCCUUGACUUUGGGAUAACUUCAGGAAACUGGGGCUAAUACCGGAUAGGAGCUCCUGCUGCAUGGUGGGGGUUGGAAAGUUUCGGCGGUUGGGGAUGGACUCGCGGCUUAUCAGCUUGUUGGUGGGGUAGUGGCUUACCAAGGCUUUGACGGGUAGCCGGCCUGAGAGGGUGACCGGCCACAUUGGGACUGAGAUACGGCCCAGACUCCUACGGGAGGCAGCAGUGGGGAAUAUUGCACAAUGGGUGGAAGCCUGAUGCAGCAACGCCGUGUGCGGGAUGACGGCCUUCGGGUUGUAAACCGCUUUCGCUCAUGACGAAGCUUUGUGUGACGGUAGUGGGUAAAGAAGCACCGGCUAACUACGU
RNAcentral lists this ribosomal RNA (466 nucleotides) under uncultured bacterium. Its description in RNAcentral is "partial 16S ribosomal RNA". It matches the Rfam family "Bacterial small subunit ribosomal RNA", at positions 28 to 506 of the family's 1533-position model. The record is from RNAcentral.